Micropterus salmoides (largemouth bass) is the source of this 1266-nucleotide long non-coding RNA. RefSeq lists it as uncharacterized. The record is from RefSeq and is a predicted model, not a curated record. Lineage: Eukaryota; Metazoa; Chordata; Actinopteri; Centrarchiformes; Centrarchidae. The transcript has 2 exons.
UAUCUUAGUCUUUGCUGUGUUUACUGUCAGGGCCCAGGUCUGAAAGAAUCUCUGAAGGAGGUUAAGGUGCUGCUGCAAACCUUCUUUAGUAGGUGAAAGCAACACUAAGUCAUCUGCAUACAGCAGACCUCUGAUCUCUGUGUCGUUCAGGAUGAGGCCAGGUGCCGUGGAACUCUCUAAUUGGUUUGCUAAUUCAUUGAUAUAUAGAUUGAAAUAGUUUUUUCUAUCUGGUUUUAAACAGUUUUUACUUGUUUAUUUAACCAGCUUUUAACCAUUGUUCUUAACCUGUCCUGUCUAUGUUAUCGUUUUUACUAACCAUUAUUGGAUUGAUCUGCAUGUGAACGGAGGCAACAUGACUCACCUGAAUUUGACAGGCCUCCUUUUUCUGUUGACGCUGUCAUGUCACUUUUUAUGCGGACUUCUUGUGUAUGGACAACCUCUCCAGUAUAGUCGGGAAUUCCUUCUGCUUUUGCACAGCACCAGUGUACGCACCGUGGACUCCAGUUAUCCCCGCAGAGAUCCUCCUGUUGCCGGACCCCUACGCAGUGAACAGGAACGGGGCGCCCCGCAGGAGGCCGACAGCGAGGAAAAGAGGGAGACGCGGCGGUGUGCGCCAGAGGCUCAGGAGACAGGGACAUAGGCGGAUUCCCCUUCCCACAGUCAUCCUCGCUAAUGUCCAGUCACUCCGGAAUAAAGUUGACGAGCUUUAAGAAAACGUCAAGUUCCUGGCGGAGUAUAGCAGUGCCUGUCUUCUUGCCUUCACAGAAACAUGGCUUAAGGAACACGACUUACAGUCCGAUCUGGAGAUCGAUGGCUUCGGAGUUCCCUACCGCUUGGACAGAGACCCUGCAGUGACCGGUCACUUUCCAUUAAACAGAAAAAUCGCAUGCAAGGUAUCGUGAAGGUAUGCAGCAAAAUUGUUGGCACACCCUUAGAUGACCUACAUGACCUGUAUAAGGUCAGAUCCUUGAAGAAGGCGAGAGCCAUCCUGGCUGAUCCCAGUCAUCCCUUGUGGGGUGAAUUUAUGCUGCUGCCAUCCGGGCGCAGAUAUAGUCUGCCGUGAUGCAGAACAAACAGAUUAAAAAGGUCAUUCAUCCCGGCUGUUAUCACCAUUGUUAAUACCCUGUAAAUUCAAUUUUAAAUUAUAUUGUACUGUGGUUGUGUUUAUUGUUGUGGUCUGAUAAAUAUAUUUGUUGUAUAUAUAUUUGCUGGCUGUAAUGCAAAUUGCCCCUCGGGGAUAAUAAAGUUACCUUACCUUACCAUUCA